GGGAGUAUGGCGAAACACGGUAAACGCUGUAGACUUGGAAUCUACUAGGGUCUCUAACACCCUUUGCGGGUUCAAAUCCCGCUACUCCCA
RNAcentral lists this transfer RNA (90 nucleotides) under Deltaproteobacteria bacterium RIFCSPHIGHO2_01_FULL_43_49. RNAcentral's name for it is "tRNA-Pro". It matches the Rfam family "tRNA". Rfam says of the family: Transfer RNA (tRNA) molecules are approximately 80 nucleotides in length. Their secondary structure includes four short double-helical elements and three loops (D, anti-codon, and T loops). Lineage: Bacteria; Deltaproteobacteria. RNAcentral also lists the same sequence under 6 other names. The record is from RNAcentral.